UACGUAGGGGGCGAGCGUUGUCCGGAAUCAUUGGGCGUAAAGCGCGUGUAGGCGGCCCGGUAAGUCCGCUGUGAAAGUCCAGGGCUCAACCCUGGGAUGCCGGUGGAUACUGUCGGGCUCGAGUCCGGAAGAGGCGAGUGGAAUUCCUGGUGUAGCGGUGAAAUGCGCAGAUAUCAGGAGGAACACCAAUGGCGAAGGCAGCUCGCUGGGACGUGACUGACACUGAGGCACGAAAGCUAGGGGAGCAAACAGG
This 253-nucleotide ribosomal RNA is filed under the name uncultured bacterium. RNAcentral describes it as "partial 16S ribosomal RNA". It matches the Rfam family "Bacterial small subunit ribosomal RNA", at positions 524 to 776 of the family's 1533-position model. The record is from RNAcentral.